CUUUCUUCUCUCUUCUUCUCUGAUUUUCAUGUGUAUUUUUAUUACGUUUCGAGAUUAAUCGUUAGUCAUGAUUCUAUUAGUCGUAUUAUCAGUGUAUGUUAUUUUAGUAAUUCAUUGUUAUUCUGGAAUCAUAUAUUUAUUCAUAUGUUUUAAUUAUAUUUUUUUUACCUUGUCAUUUGAUUAGUUCGUAUAUAGUUCGUCAUUUAUGAUUUUUGAUUCUUCGACCUAGCUGGUCGACUAUGUCAUAUGCAUUUAUUCUUGCUAAACUUUUAGUUUUAUCGACCUAAACGGUCGAUUGUUUGUUUGCUCGUGCUUGUUACUCUUGGAUAUUUGUUUCUCGACCUAGCCGGUCGAUUAUUUUGUCGUUUGUUUGAAUAUUAAGUUAGUCACGACUACAAAUGAUGGAUUCAAUUCAAAUUGUUGAAUUGUUUAAUUCACCGGGUUAGUCGGUUCAUUGAAUGAUUUGUUAAGCUUGACCUUAUCUUCCUUUGUGCAUGAUUUGAGUUUGAGUUUUCAGCUUAAAUAAGUCAUGUAUUGGUUAAAAACUGAAGUAGUGAGAAAUACACGAGUAUAGGGUACUUGUUUGGUUGCUUUUACUGUUUAAAAGGCUGUUUGGAGUACACUGCUCUUAGCACUGUUCGUAGUUGGGGAGGAACUAUCUUACAGACAGAUUUUUGACCAAAAAAUAUGUCCUUUGAUCAGUUGGGACAGAUUUUAGGUGGAAAAUCCGUCCUUUCGAUAGAUUGAAUGAAAUAAUUCAAUCCCUCUCCUUUCCUGUAAAGGAAAAGGUCUUUCCUCAUUUAAAGAUGGGGGGAAGACAAGCUAUCUUACAUUAGAACAGAUAGCUUCUGAAAAUCUUUAACACUGAGAAAAAUACAAAAACUUUGAGAAACAUCAGCAGCUAAAACAACGAAAAGUGAGCUGAAAAACUGAAAGUUUGCAAGUUCUUUCUUCCUUUCCUAAGUCGGUGAGCUUUUGGUCUGGGUUUCUAAGUCACUUCGGAUCUAAAAGACUAUUGUUCGAUUGUUGUUUCAUUUGGCUGGAGUUUGGUUUGCUGGUUCCCUGCUCUGCUGUCUGUUUUUCUUCUAUUUUCUGCAAAUUAGGUAUUUUUUAGCUCUCUAAUUUAGCUUUUAGCUGCAUAAAGCUAUUGCAAUGAAUGUGUUGAUAUGUUAUUAUUGUUACUUUAUAUUUGUGUUUGAUGUUUUGCUCAUAAAUGGAUGAAUGAAUGUUCAACUUCAUGAAUAUGUGCUCUGUUUCUCUUUUAAGUUUCAGCUCUCCUAAACUCAAAAGUUGUACAUGAUUGAAGCUAUGGUGACAGAUUUGUGGCAUAGUUCAGUUGAGGAGCAAGUAAAUAUAAGACACAUUUGAAAUCCUCUGAUAGUUGAUAGCUUAGAUAAAUGUUGAGUUUUUAAGUCGAAGAUGUGUGUAUGGUAGAGUUUAAUCUUAAGAGCAGUUGUACUGAUAUUCUUUGGUUCAAGUUUCUUUUUUGUUUUGAUUAUGAAUUUGUACUAGUUUGCUCUAGUUUUCUUUUAAGGGUUUUUUUCUCUUUUCUUUAAGUUUGACAUAAAUAUUGUUCUCUUAUAUUUUCAUUUGCGUUAGCAGAGUUUUUGCAAAUAAGUUCCAAUACAUGUUAAAGUGCUUGAGUAGAUAACGCUUUUUUUUUUUGUUUAUUUAUUCGUUCUCUAAUUCGAGUAUAAGAAUGAAUACUUAGAAGUUCCUCCUUAGUUUUAAUAUCUUUUAAAAGGUUGUUAAAAUAUAUUUUAGCUUGAAAGGUUGUGUAUCAUUGUGGAGUUAGUAUUCAUGUUAGAGUGAAUUUAGUAGUAAAAUUAUGUUUGUUUAGAAAGAAUGCUCUUCUAUAUAUAUUUUAAGGAAUUUCUGUUGGAUAGUAAAUUAUCAAAUUGAGUUUUUACAUGUGCUUUCUAAAUAUUUAUACGGUAAACUAAAAAGGUAUCUUUUUAUGUCUUAAUUUGUCUUUGUAAAAAUAAAUGUUAAGUUUAAAAAGAAAAGGUUUUGGAUUGUUAGCAGUAUGGGUUUAGGUUUUGGUUCAAAAAAUCAUUUUCAUGCUAAAUAAUUUCAGCGGCCCAACACUAAUAAGAUCCAGCAGCUGAUCCAUUUGUUUAAGUUAAUAACAUAGCUGACACAUUCUGUUUUUAGUCAAGGGCUGGCCCAAUGGCUAAAGUGGUCCAAGGGCCAGCAGUUCAAAUGCCCAAAUUGGUGGUCCAUUCCCCUUUAAUGUUGCAAAUACUAAUAAGAAUCGGUCCACUUUUAGUAAGGAGGUUGUCUAUUCUUUAAAAUAAUAAGCUAACACAAUUCUUAUAUAUAUAUAUAUAUAUAUAUAUAUAUAUUUCAUUGAAUGAUUUGUUAAGCUUGACCUUAUCUUCCUUUGUGCAUGAUUUGAGUUUGAGUUUUCAGCUUAAAUAAGUCAUGUAUUGGUUAAAAACUGAAGUAGUGAGAAAUACACGAGUAUAGG
This 2470-nucleotide long non-coding RNA is filed under the name Nicotiana benthamiana. Its description in RNAcentral is "long non-coding RNA (NBEN_LNC017970)". The record is from RNAcentral. Lineage: Eukaryota; Viridiplantae; Streptophyta; Magnoliopsida; Solanales; Solanaceae.